GAUGAACGCUGGCGGCGUGCCUAAUACAUGCAAGUCGAGCGAACAGACGAGAGUGCUUGCACUCUCUGACGUUAGCGGCGGACGGGUGAGUAACACGUGGGUAACCUACCUAUAAGACUGGGAUAACUUCGGGAAACCGGAGCUAAUACCGGAUAAUAUUUAGCUUCGCAUGAAGCAAUAGUGAAAGACGGUUCUGCUGUCACUUAUAGAUGGACCCGCGGUGUAUUAGCUAGUUGGUGAGGUAACGGCUCACCAAGGCAACGAUACAUAGCCGACCGGAGAGGCUGAUCGGCCACCCGGGGACUGAGACACGGACCAUACUCCUACGGGAGGCAGCAGUAGGGAAUCUUCCGCAAUGGUCGAAAGUCUGACGGAGCAAUGCCGCGUGAGUGAAGAAGGUUUUCGGAUCGUAAAACUCUGUUGUAAGGGAAGAACAAGUACGUUAGUAAAUGAACGUACCGUGACGGUACCUGACCAGAAAGCCACGGCUAACUACGUG
RNAcentral lists this ribosomal RNA (499 nucleotides) under uncultured bacterium. RNAcentral's name for it is "partial 16S ribosomal RNA". It matches the Rfam family "Bacterial small subunit ribosomal RNA", at positions 28 to 507 of the family's 1533-position model. The record is from RNAcentral.